GAUUCACAUUAUAUUACCUGAGGCAUGACAUGCGAUUGAUCGUGUUGAGAGACUAGGUAGGACGGUGCUGUUUCUACAAAGCAGAACACAUGCCAAAAACCCAAAGUUCACUGUCCUUUGGUGACCAAUGCAAGUUCGCAAUACCUUGUUAACAACUUAGGCUAAACCGUAAAGACGUAUAAUAUUUCAAGAUAUUCUUUUAUUUUAUUUUUUUAUUUAUUUUAAACUAUGCUAUAUGUAAACUACAUGUAAGGAAAAUAAUUUGUCAGGGUCACCUGAAUUUAUAUGCAGUAUACAGCAGUUUUCUUUUAAAUGACAGAUUUAGCCAAUUACGAUCUUUUCACGGAGACGUUCAGCACAGCACUACAUAAAAAGAGGGAUUACAAAGAGCUAUACAAUCAUCAGUCACAAGGUCUCAGCGACGAGGAGUCACAUGGACAGUGUAAGGGCAAGGUGCCAGUGUAAGUCCAAAUCGCCCGUCCAUGGAGGGUGGUGGCAAGCCGUCCGGGAGCCUGAAGGUGAAAGCCUGCAUCAGAUUCGAGAACAUCAGGAAGAGCUCCAUCUUAGCCAGCUGCUCGCCCAUGCACAGCCUGCGGCCUGGAAACAGAAGAUGCGUCAACACCAGUGUGAUCCUGUCUGGCCUCAUGACCAACAUUCAAAAGAACCUGGCGGGAUUGAAGUCGUCUGGGUUUUCCCACACAGUCGGAUCUCGAUGGACAGACCAGAGGUUUGGGAUAAUCACAGUUCCCUUGGGGAUUGUGUAUCCUCGAAACACUAUAUGGAAACCCCCAAAAGAAAAUUCUUAUUGAGGAUGUGCUCACCUGUGGUCUCUGAGGCCAUGUGAGGUAUUGCCAGGGGAACAACUGAAGUCAUCCUCUGGACCUCCAUAAUAGUGGCUUCAGUAAAAGGACAGCUAGCCUUGUCUGUCAGCGAGGGGACCCUGUCUGUCCCCACAACUGAAUCAAUCUCAGCCUGAACCUUCUCUGUGAAGCAAAGAGAAACAUCCAAGGAAGGUAAGCAACCCCCUCUGCGUGUCUAUUUAGUUACAAACCAGGAUAUGAUGUUUCUCACCAUUUUGCAAACUAGCCAUUAAUUCAUACAUCACAUCUAAUCAGCCAUUUGUGCCAAUCAGAAGAGAUCCAAAAUGCUGAUGACAAAAUUAGUGCUGCUGCAAUCCAUCUCCAUCCAAAACUACAGUACCUACAAUACAUCAGAAUAGCAUAGCAAAUCACUGCCUCCAAUAUGCAUAGUAUAAGACUAUGGGUCAGACACCUUGAAUGUCUGGAUAUACGCUCAUGUACAGCAGCAUCCAGAGCACAGUAUUGGUGGUGGUGUCAGUUCCGGCGAUGAAGAGAUCGCCAAUGAUGUAGAAGAGAUAAUCCUCCGAGAAGCUGGUUUCCCCCGCCCCUACGCUCUGUUGCUGCUGGGCCGUCUCCACCAGGUACAUGUCGAUAAGGUCACGGGGGCUGUCCGGGUCCAAACUGGACCUGUGCUGGACGAUAAUUUCCUUCAGGAAGACCGUGAUGUCCCUCUCCACCUGCCGGAUUUCCCUGAAGGGACCGAAGGGCAGGUAGUACAGCCAGGGGAAGACGUUGAUGAGGAUGGCCGGGCUGUUGAUGCAGAGCUCCAGGCCCCUGGACAUGAGCUCCAGCAGCGAGCGGAACUGGGAAUCCCCGUGGUGGAAACGCUGACCGAGGCUAAUGGAGGAGAUCACAUUAGACACCGCGUUGCUGACGAGCGGUGUCAGGUCAACGGGCAUCCCCUCUCCCUCUGCGUGGAUUCUCAGCAGCUCAUUCUUCACUACUGCCAGCUCCUCCAGGAUGCGGGGCUCUAGGCUCAGCCGGCCCAGCCCAAAACUCCGUAAAGUUGCAUGGCAGAACUUUCGCUGCUGUCUCCACACGGGACCAUAGGGGGCAAACACUAUACCUGAAAUUAGGAGCAGAAUUUCAAGUGAACAACAUUGUCCCAUCUCACAUAAUUCUGCUUUCCAUGUGUUUACAAAUUGCCUUACCAUCCUUUUGGGCAACACCUGAAGUAGUAUAUCUACAUUUUAUUAAACAAUAUGUAUAUACAUUCCGGGUAGUGCCAUGGAAUUGGACAUAUUCACAGAGCUGACAAAGGCGACACAAUGGUCAACAGCAGAUAGGACUGCUUAAACGUUACUAGAGUGCACUACAGAAAUUCAAAGUAGACAUAAUCCAGAUAUUCUGCAGAUAACGUUUUUUUCUUGCGUAUAGCAGCAGAUCUAUUUCGCAGGUGUCUACAGGACUACUUAGUACUUACCUUUCCGCUUUGUCAUAAUAGUUACGACGGGAACAUCAGGUCGGUCAGAAAAUACGUCGGCUCGAUUUGAGAGGGCGUCCUUGACGACUUCGUAGCCUGUCAAUAUAACUAUCAGUUGAUUACCAAUAAAAAGGCUGUAGAUACUGCCAUACUUUUUCGACAGUUCCGUUAGAAAAACUUGUGGGGAUACAAAAACGGAUUUCCUUGGUUCGCGUUUUUCAGUACGACCCCCGCGCCGUUUCAAAACAAAACUUGGGAUAAGAAACUGUCCAAAAUUGCCAAUCAAAGGCCAGGGUUUCGGACCGGGAGGAACAUUAGAGAAUGUUCGUUUUUUAAAUUUGUGUGACACGAAAAACACUGCUAAAAACACGGCCAAGGCCACCAAGUAUACACUCGAGAAUAAAGUAAUACAUUGCAGCUGCUGCCAUAGCUGCCUCAGCAUAGCGACUACGUUACUCAACGUCACGAUUUAAAAUACUAAUAUCUAAUAUCCGUAUAAUAUUUUAGAAAUCAGUUUAUCGAAAAGAUACUGGAUUCCAGUCCUAGCAGACAUGUCUGUUUUGGUUGUGCAGUGGCUACGUUGCAUCUUAUCUGCUUUUUGAUUGGUCAGGAAAAACAGUAACGCUCAUUGGACGACCAAUAUAGUGACGAAAAAAAGGUUGGCUUAAAUCAUAUAUUAAAAAAGCUUAUUUAGCACUUGCAAGCACUUUAACCUUGUGAUUUCAUUGUUUCAUCAUAAUAAGCACAGCAUACUUGGACCAACAUUGUUUGUUUAAACCUCAUUUUCAUAAUUUCAUUUCAUAUCCAAUGUGCUGGAGUACAGAGCCAAAAACAAAAAACAAAAAUUGUGUCACUGUCAAAAUACCUAUGGCCUGCACUCUGACGUGUGUUUCAGUCCUUUAGAUAGUACUGGUAUUUCUUGUUAUUAUUUCACAUUGUGUUCUUGUGCUGUUUCUCAUUGUAAUACAGAUUUCAAGCAUUCGUUGCUUGCAAAGAACAAGUGACAAAGUACUUUCAUUUACAUAACAAUAUGUCCCAAAUAUUGUGAUACCCUGAAACCAGAGGCUAUGUAUUAAAAGUUCUGUCAUUUCUACAUGGUGAAACCAAAGUUUAUAAAAAUUCCCUUAAUAAAUGCUAAGAUUGUGCACUUUAACCACAAGUGAUUAGAAUACAAAUCUAAAAUUGAGUACCCAGAGACUGAGAAAGAGAGAGAAAGAGCUUUGGUUACCAACUAGCAAGCUUAUAUGUGUUUGUUAUUCUGCUAUCCAAAAUGUAACUUCAAGCACUAUUCUGACAAAAUAAAUGAAUAAAUAAAUCAAAGGGCAAAUUCAUUGGCCAUUAUUUUCAUUGCAUACAUUCAUUUUGUGCUUGAGCUUAAUCUCUGGACCUUUUCCUUGUUCCUCAGUUGAGCAUCUAGUUCUGAUUGCUCUUCAAGGCCUCAUCGGGCUAUAGCGCAUGGUUCCAACUGAAACAAUGAUGUUACACUUAUUUUCAUUGUUAUACUUUACAAAAUGAACUAAUCAAACUUGGUUCUUUUCAUAUAUAUUUUAUUCAUAACAGUCAUUUUUCAGGCAUACAGUACAUACAAUAAUGGCAAUGACACAUUGGUAUGUUGAUGACACAAAAAAUUCAGACUAUUAUUGAUAGUUUCAUUUAUAGAAUGGGUUCACUAUUUGACAACUCUUAAGGCACAUAAUACAUGAACACUGAUCCUGAUUUAUAUCUUUCUUAAAAGAUAAAAUCAAUGUUAAAUAAGAGAUUUAUUAAAAAAUAGUCUUAAGACAUAGUAUUCAUUUUCUGGAAUUUUUCAGGUUUCUAUGGAGUCCUCCACCACGCGUAAAACUAUAGUCAUUGUAUGUUUGUAAUCUGUAGCAGUGAAUAACAGACAGUUUAAUAAAUAUACAAUUUAGAGCUUCAUUCUAUUAGUUCAUAAGCGCUGUUUCUAUGUGAAUGUGGUUCAAUAUUUAAAAAAAAACUGUCAAAAGACGCAGCAGAUUCAGAGGCAACAAGCCCACAGUAAUACACUACCAUGUUAUGAUCCAGUGCAAUGUUUCACUAAGUUAAACUUGCCUGUGAUUUAAAGCUUGGGCAUAAGCAAUGUGCAUUAGGAAUUAAUAUCCAAAGCCUAAUUGUGCAGCUUGUUUAGCCAUUUUUCUGCCCAAAAUGUCCGUAAAAAGCACUUCAUUUCAUAUAAAUUGACUAUUUUCCUAGCCAAAGUCUUCAAACUGCUUGAACAGUUUUCAUUAAAUACCAAAAAGACAAAACUAAAUUAUAAAAACACUGAACUCCAAUACAUGUUUUUGUUUCCCUAAAAAUGUUGAUGUAAGUGAAGUUUGUUAAUCAAUAUUAACAUACAGGUACCAAAUGACACACGGCAAAUGUUUUGGCCAAUUAAAAGGUAAAUGCUCAUCUAUAGAAAAGGGUCAUUUUAAAGUCAACACUUAUAAACAUGUAACACAGACUCAAAUUCAUACCUUAACAAGGCAAAUUAAUAAAAUUCAGACAAAAUGUAUAAAACAAAGGAAACAGUAACAAGAGAAAGUUCAAAAUUUUCUCAAUCUGAACUAAAAAUGCAUACAAAAAGGAAAUAUAAUAUUCAUAAAUGAGAAUUCAGUUCCUUCAAUUCCAUUGUAAAAAUGCCAGCAAGAUACUGCAUGGAUUUGAUCAGCACCCACAGCAUCAGAAAGAGUGACUUCUGCUCAGCCACAGAUCUGUGAAUUCAGUUCUGUGUUCCCCAUUUAAAAAACAACUUAUGAGCACUGCCUUCUUGUAAACAAGAUGCAUUUGCUCUGUUGUCAAUGAGGCUUGCCAAGGCUGUGAUGAUUAUACUUACGAUCAGCCUCAGCUGUAAGAUGAUUGUCACAGACCACUUAUUGCACAGCUGUUUAUUUGAUUUAUGUUAGAAAGUCACAGAUCUGAAAGCUUUUCUGUCUGCAGAACUCAGAGACAUAAGAAUACACAGGGGUGUCUUCCUUUUGCCUAUAGUAUAAUUGUACAAACUGCACCAAGUAAAGGUGGCUGCAGGCUCAGCCAAAGAGAUUUUGUACAAGACAACAAACUCUGAAGCAAAGUUCAGUAAACAAUGUGACAGUGUGGUUGUUUUUAAA
This is a long non-coding RNA of Anguilla rostrata (American eel), 5390 nucleotides long. RefSeq lists it as uncharacterized. The record is from RefSeq and is a predicted model, not a curated record. Lineage: Eukaryota; Metazoa; Chordata; Actinopteri; Anguilliformes; Anguillidae. The transcript is spliced from 4 exons.